GUCCUUCGGGGAUAUCCGAUAAAAUUGAAACGAUGCAGAAAAGAUUAGCAUGGUCUCUGUGCAAAGAUAAUACCCACAAAUUGAGAAAUAGUGUAAUAUUUC
Molecule: small nuclear RNA, 102 nt
Organism: Solanum dulcamara
Lineage: Eukaryota; Viridiplantae; Streptophyta; Magnoliopsida; Solanales; Solanaceae
Source: RefSeq, a predicted model, not a curated record